AGCGUAAUGAGCGGCUGACAUGGUCAGAAUCUAUAAAGGAACUUGGUGCUGCUUACUAUCUCCACCGCUGUGCCGUUGAUGUAGAGUGGAGCGUGGCUGGACCGGUGCUUCCUGAAGUCAACGAUGAUCUCCUGCGGUCGGAUGCAAGCCUGGUUCAGGGAGGAGGACGCCCCUGCCAUGCAGAGUCCCCAGGGAUUGUACCAACUAGUCCUUUCAACAAAAAAAAAAUUCCAGGCCCCCGGGCCUUGAGUUUGACACCUGUGAACUAAAUGAACAUCCUCCAAGACUGGUUUUUCAAGCCGGUGUUGCCAUGGCGACAGGGGGAUGAGUUUGGACAGAGGGGGGGUGGAGAUGGCGGCCAUUUCGCACGCAGCCUCCCUCCCCCCUCCCCGCAAAAAUGGACGAGUCCGCUUUAGCCACAAUCCUCCGCUCUUGUUCCUGGGAUGUGGCUCUUAUUUUUCUGUGACUCAUCUUUUCAGGCCAAGUCUGACGCAUGGGCAAAGGGAGAAAAGGAGGUAUAGAGAGUGAAAAAGCGGCAGUCAUGGUGGAAUUGGGGAGAGAAGAGGUGGGUGUGUGUUUGUUUUGCCAUAUUGGGUGUCCCUUGAGGAUCUGCAAGCUGAUGGGAGGGAAAUGGAUUAGAGACCUGCUGUGGAGGCUCCAUCAUUACAUUACCAUCAUGACUGACGCUCAUGUUUCAACACAAAGGCUCUAUUCAGCACACAGGAGAGCAAGUAGUUCCCACAUGUGUAUGUCAGCCAGGCAAAUCCAUGUGGUCGGAAUCUUUGCCGUUGUGAUUACACAAAGAAUCAAACAGGAGAUUGUUAAUUAUGUGAAUUAUUUACACAAAAAUUCCAUCAUCGGUUUUUUUCUUACAACCUCAAAAUGGUUAUGCCCUUAAGGUCGUACAAGUUCAACCAAAACGUGGCCCUUGCAGUACAGUGAGCAUAGCAAGAAGUUACACCAAAGAUGUGCAGAAUGUUGUGGGGAAAAAAACUGAUCAAUAUUGUUGAUUAAUGCCUUUCAAUGCUGAUGACAAACACCAAUCCUCUCUGGCUGAUUAUAAAAACUAUUAUUUUUCGUCCCCCGGCUGACAAGCGGCUAGCAGCUAAUUAUGUGUCUCCAUACGCAGUGUGGAGUCCCUCCCCUAAACUAGUAAUAGACUCCAUUACGACAAAUUAACUUAAUUUUUUAGUAUCUUACAUAUCAUUAUCAAGUAUCAUUAUCACAGGGGGACGAGUUACAGCAGAAAGUAAACUGUUAACAUAAAAAUUAACAAAUAGCAAAAUUGUCAUGACCUGUCACUGCUGGUCAUGUUUCGUUUCGAUUUUGUUGUAGUUCUGUUUAUAGUGUUUAUUUAUUUAUUUGUAUUAGGACAAUGUAUAUUAAUCAACAUAGAGCAACAAUGUAAAUAUGUCGGAGUUAGCACAAUAGCUCAUUUUUAUCAGUUGUCCUGUUUAUUUCUAUUGUCAGUGCUCCUUUCCUCCCUUAACUUCUCAUUGCUAGGAGCGCUGAUUGAGCACACCUGUCGCUGAUCACUAGUCUGAGGACUAGUUAUGCCAGUCUUGCAGGAUUAUUGUUUGCUUUACGCAACUGUUCACGUUGGUUUAUAGACUGCUUCAUGUUCAUUUCAUGGUUGUUUUACGUGGCUCUUAUGCUAUGCUAAGACAUUGUAGUUUGCCGCCUUAUGCUUGACUUGCGCUUGCCAGCAGGCUUGAUCCAUGAUUUGUUAGUGUCGAUACCAAUAGUAUCAGCAUAUGAUCGAUACUAGGGUGAAUUCCAGGGGACGGCGUGGCGCAGUUGGUAGAGUGGUUGUGCCAGCAACCUGAGGGUUCAUGUUUCAAUCUUCAGCUUCUACCACCCUAGUCACGUCCGUUGUGUCCUUGCUCCUGAUGGAUCGUCGUUAGCGCCUUGCAUGGCAGCUCCCGCCAUCAGUGUGUGAAUGUGUGUGUGUGAAUGUGGAAAUAGUGUCAAAGCGCUUUGAGUACCUUGAAGGUAGAAAAGCGCUAUACGAGUAUAACCCAUUUAUCAUUUCAUCAAUAUUUUUGUUUUGUUUUUGUCAAUAUUUACAAACUUGGGGAAUAAUUUCAUGGACACGAGGACUUUU
Entelurus aequoreus (snake pipefish) is the source of this 2104-nucleotide long non-coding RNA. RefSeq lists it as uncharacterized. The record is from RefSeq and is a predicted model, not a curated record. The transcript is spliced from 3 exons. NCBI's taxonomy places the organism in Eukaryota, Metazoa, Chordata, Actinopteri, Syngnathiformes, Syngnathidae.